AUUCCAUGAUGGGGACAUUCUAGGAUGUAGUCGAAGCGCUCCCAUACCUCUCGAACAGAUUCAUCAUGUUGUUGCCGAAAAAUUAUAAUCUUCCCACGGAGAGC
This 104-nucleotide small nucleolar RNA is filed under the name Sorghum bicolor (sorghum). Its description in RNAcentral is "Plant small nucleolar RNA R71". It matches the Rfam family "Plant small nucleolar RNA R71". Rfam says of the family: R71 is a member of the C/D box family of snoRNAs containing the C (UGAUGA) and D (CUGA) box motifs. Multiple nearly identical copies of this snoRNA have been identified in Arabidopsis, and it is thought to function as a 2'-O-ribose methylation guide for 18S ribosomal RNA. Lineage: Eukaryota; Viridiplantae; Streptophyta; Magnoliopsida; Poales; Poaceae. The record is from Rfam by way of RNAcentral.